Mycena maculata is the source of this 79-nucleotide non-coding RNA. The record is from the annotation of a GenBank genome assembly. NCBI's taxonomy places the organism in Eukaryota, Fungi, Basidiomycota, Agaricomycetes, Agaricales, Mycenaceae.
GCAUCCUUGGUGUAGCGGUAACACACUCCCUGCAUACUGUGGUCGUAAGGAAUUCAGGGUUCGAAUCCCUGGGGAUGCA